This is a non-coding RNA of Macaca mulatta (Rhesus monkey), 3245 nucleotides long. The record is from RefSeq and is a predicted model, not a curated record. NCBI's taxonomy places the organism in Eukaryota, Metazoa, Chordata, Mammalia, Primates, Cercopithecidae.
UGUUCAUUUCUGGAAUUUUCCACUUAAUAUUUUCUGACCAUGAUUGGCCAUGGGUAAUUGAAAUCACAGAAAGUGAAACCACAGAUAAAAGGGGACAACAGUACAUGAGCAGGUGGGAGGUGUUAAGCACCUAGAGACAGCAAAGGUCUACGAGGAGCUGGCAAGGGAUGGGCUCACUCUGGAUGGGGAGAGCCAAGAGGGAGGCAGCUGAUGUGGUAUACUUUGCUUCACACAUAUGCAUGCACAUGCAUGCGCACACACACACGCACAUACACAUCCAUGCGCAUGAACCCACACACACAAAUGCACAGAUGUACACACACACACAUUCUAAUUCCCUUACACUUGCAGAGCAGGGUCCAUUCUGCAGAGGCUUUUCACAGGCAGACCUAACCAGCCUUGCAACAACCCCACGUGGGAGAGAGGUUUCACAGAACAUCUCCAUUCGAUAGAGACUGGCCAGCAGGAGACAUCACUUCCAAAUAUAUCUAUUGUUUUCUUCAUUAGCCAAAGUGUUUAUUUUAAACCACCUGAUUUAACGGCAUGUGUCAGGCAGAAUUCUAAGAUGGUCACCCAGAUUCCCACCCCUGUUAGAUAUGCCUUUAAGCCCUCUCCCCUCGAAUGCGGGCAGGACUGUGAUUGGCAUGAAACACUCACUCCCUUGCUGAGACUUCAUUGCAGGGGACUGGAAAGAGGUUCUCCAGCUGGCUUUGGAGGAAUGAGCUGCCAUUCUGGGAGAGGACCAUGUGCCUGGGACCUGAGGGCAGCUUCCAGGAGUGCCACAACUUCAGGGAAUUGAGUCCUACCAACAGCCAGAAUAGCUUGCAAGAGGACCCAGAGCUCCAGGAGGGGACAUAGCCUGGUCAACACUCUAGUUCAGCCUUGAAAACUUCAGGCAGGGAACCCAGCUAAGUCAUGCUCUGGCUUCUGGACAACAGAAACUGAGAUACUAAAUGGGUGCUGUUUUAAGUCAGUGAGUUUGUGGUAAUCAGUUACAAAACAAUGAAAAAUGAAUACAGAGCACAUCUUCUAUAUGGUUUAUCUAUUUCUCCUUUUUUUUGCCUUCCCCCCUCACCCCCCACAUCUGGCUAUUUAUUUUCUCCGUGUGUCUCUGUCUGAAUUCUGUAUCCGUUACAUUAUUUAAUAAUGAUAGAACUUCCAUAUCACAGAAAAGAGCAAAAGUGAGCCUCGUUAAUCCUAGUUCAGCUCUUUUUUUAAACUCAUCCAAGACCUUGAAAGAAGCAGAAAUAAAAGUAAUCUCGCUCUCACUUCUGGUUCUGUUGAAAACAGAGAUUUAUUCUUACCAGAGAUCCCUGCAUUUUUAACAAAUAAACCGAAAGGUUUGAUUUGGCACAUGAUUGUCCCAGAUCAGCAGAAUGGCCAGUGGGUGAGCACAGGGUCAAGACCUUCAUGCUGGGAUCAGACUGGGAGGACACCAGAACCUCUUUCAGAGUCUGAAGACAUUCCGUCAACCAUAAGCAGGGGAAACAGAGUCUCCUGAUUUGUCUUAGCAAUGUGGGGAUACCAACAAACGUGCCAGCAGCCCAGGCCUCACCUGGCCAACCCACUCACCUGUCCUCUUCCUUGCAUCUCCAGGUCUCUGGGCACUUUUCAUUGACUCUUGUUCAUCCUAGUGCUUUUUCAGAGGAAUGUGGACGAGGGCCCCAUGCCCAGGAGGUGGCAUUCUCCAAGAGGAGCCAAAGGUUGGAAGUUUGGAUGCUCCAAUGUCAAAUCUUUCUAUAUAAGAGGACUAAAACCGAACUCACAGUUCAGGUCACUUCUAGAUUUGAAGUAGAUAACUGGAAGGUGUAUUCACAAACAACAACGAUAAUAAGUAUAUAGAACAUUAAAAAGUUAAAUGAAAUUACAAUUUGACUACAUACCAUUCAUUUAAAUUCUAGACGAUUGUAACGAUUUCAUAGCAUAGUAUCUUAUGAUCCAUGGCUUUUCUGAAAUGAUUUUUAAAUUCAAUCAGUUACAGUCACAGGAAAGCCAUCAGUACUACAAAUGGAGGUGCUGCCAUUCUUAUUAACUUUAUGCUACAAUUAUUGUCUAUGUCAUUAAAUCUAGAUGUAGCGAAGACAAAGAAAAGAACAGAUGUUUAAAAAAUAGUCUGAAGCAGAAAGUGUAAAGAAAUAAUUUUUGGCAGAGAAACAACAAGUCCUGUGGAGCCUAAAAGCUAAAAGCAAUUACUUGUUAAAAUAAUAAUUCUUUCCAGCCCUGAUGAAUUAAGUGGUACUGGAUCAGCCCUCCCAUCAUAAACAAUGAUAGAACUGGAUCAAAUUUGUGAAUUGCCUGUUUUUCAGGCAUUUUCAGACCUGAGGCAGUGCAGAAUCAGAGAGAAGAGAAAAGUAACAGGGAUGAGCUGUGGCUUCUGGGAGGAGGUUAAAGAAAGACCCUGGCCCUCCUCCUGUUCCUCCUCUCAUGCUCUCUCUUGUCUGCCCACUCAGAUGGAGUUCAGCUACCAUUCUGUGAGCUGGAGAGGCCUGUGCAGAAAAGAACUAAGGAAAGCCAGUGAAGAACUGGAUUCCUCAGUCCAAUAGCUCACGAGGAAUUUAAUUCUGCCAACAGCCACUCAGCCUACUCAACAUGAAGACGAUGAGGAUGAAGACUUUGAUGAGGAUUCCCUUCCAUUUAAUGAAUAGUCAGUACAUGUUCUUCUCAUGAUUUUCUUAAUUCGGCAGGCCUACCUGAGGAACGUGUUGGAACUGAAUCAAAGUCAACCAGAAACUUCCACUUCCCUUUCACUGUGCCUAGAAGUGCCCAUCAAAUCACGGUAGGAUCACAGCAGUCGCUGUUCUCAAACUCCAGGACUCACACUAAGGGACAACUCAAACGACAGGCUUAUCACUUAUUAAACAGGGAGGUAAAUCCACCUUUCAAAGACUCGAUUCCUUCAAUACAAAUUCAGUGAGGACAUGAGGAAAAUUUCCAACAAUGCUACAAACACUGAGUUUUCAGAAAAACACUUCGUGAACAAAAUCUCUGGAAUAUAAAACCUGCGAGUCAAAUGAUCACCUGGCUACUCAGUACACAAGGUCACACCAGUUUUCUAGCAAAAGGCAACUUAAAAACCAUUCAAGGAGCCCCAUCACAAUGCUUUCAGUGACACAGUGGGUAUCACUUUGUAGAGAGAGAGAUUUGGGUUCAGAAAUGUUACUGGACUUUAUUCAAGUCACACUGUUAGAAAAUAGAAGAAUCAGCCGGGCGCAGUGGCUCACGCCUGUAAUCCCAGCACUUUGAGA